Molecule: ribosomal RNA, 1317 nt
Filed under: uncultured bacterium
Lineage: Bacteria
Description: bacterial SSU rRNA
Rfam family: Bacterial small subunit ribosomal RNA
Source: RNAcentral
CGAGCGAGCUUGCCUAGAUGAUUUUAGUGCUUGCACUAAAUGAAACUAGAUACAAGCGAGCGGCGGACGGGUGAGUAACACGUGGGUAACCUGCCCAAGAGACUGGGAUAACACCUGGAAACAGAUGCUAAUACCGGAUAACAACACUAGACGCAUGCCUAGAGUUUGAAAGAUGGUUCUGCUAUCACUCUUGGAUGGACCUGCGGUGCAUUAGCUAGUUGGUAAGGUAACGGCUUACCAAGGCAAUGAUGCAUAGCCGAGUUGAGAGACUGAUCGGCCACAUUGGGACUGAGACACGGCCCAAACUCCUACGGGAGGCAGCAGUAGGGAAUCUUCCACAAUGGACGAAAGUCUGAUGGAGCAACGCCGCGUGAGUGAAGAAGGGUUUCGGCUCGUAAAGCUCUGUUGGUAGUGAAGAAAGAUAGAGGUAGUAACUGGCCUUUAUUUGACGGUAAUUACUUAGAAAGUCACGGCUAACUACGUGCCAGCAGCCGCGGUAAUACGUAGGUGGCAAGCGUUGUCCGGAUUUAUUGGGCGUAAAGCGAGUGCAGGCGGUUCAAUAAGUCUGAUGUGAAAGCCUUCGGCUCAACCGGAGAAUUGCAUCAGAAACUGUUGAACUUGAGUGCAGAAGAGGAGAGUGGAACUCCAUGUGUAGCGGUGGAAUGCGUAGAUAUAUGGAAGAACACCAGUGGCGAAGGCGGCUCUCUGGUCUGCAACUGACGCUGAGGCUCGAAAGCAUGGGUAGCGAACAGGAUUAGAUACCCUGGUAGUCCAUGCCGUAAACGAUGAGUGCUAAGUGUUGGGAGGUUUCCGCCUCUCAGUGCUGCAGCUAACGCAUUAAGCACUCCGCCUGGGGAGUACGACCGCAAGGUUGAAACUCAAAGGAAUUGACGGGGGCCCGCACAAGCGGUGGAGCAUGUGGUUUAAUUCGAAGCAACGCGAAGAACCUUACCAGGUCUUGACAUCCAGUGCAAACCUAAGAGAUUAGGUGUUCCCUUCGGGGACGCUGAGACAGGUGGUGCAUGGCUGUCGUCAGCUCGUGUCGUGAGAUGUUGGGUUAAGUCCCGCAACGAGCGCAACCCUUGUCAUUAGUUGCCAUCAUUAAGUUGGGCACUCUAAUGAGACUGCCGGUGACAAACCGGAGGAAGGUGGGGAUGACGUCAAGUCAUCAUGCCCCUUAUGACCUGGGCUACACACGUGCUACAAUGGACGGUACAACGAGAAGCGAACCUGCGAAGGCAAGCGGAUCUCUUAAAGCCGUUCUCAGUUCGGACUGUAGGCUGCAACUCGCCUACACGAAGCUGGAAUCGCUAGUAA